AUUGAACGCUGGCGGCAGGCCUAACACAUGCAAGUCGAGCGGCAGCGGAAGGAAGCUUGCUUCCUUGCCGGCGAGCGGCGGACGGGUGAGUAAGGUAUGGGGAUCUGGCCGAAGGCGGGGGAUAACCACUGGAAACGGUAGCUAAUACCGCAUAACGUCGCAAGACCAAAGAGGGGGACCUUCGGGCUUCUUGCCAUCGGAUGUGCCCAGAUGGGAUUAGCUUGUUGGUGAGGUAAUGGCUCACCAAGGCGACGAUCCCUAGCUGGUCUGAGAGGAUGACCAGCCACACUGGAACUGAGACACGGUCCAGACUCCUACGGGAGGCAGCAGUGGGGAAUAUUGCACAAUGGGCGCAAGCCUGAUGCAGCCAUGCCGCGUGUGUGAAGAAGGCCUUCGGGUUGUAAAGCACUUUCAGCGGGGAGGAAGGCAAUACGGUUAAUAACCGUGUUGAUUGACGUUACCCGCAGAAGAAGCACCGGCUAACUCCGUGCCAGCCGCCGCGGUAA
Molecule: ribosomal RNA, 506 nt
Filed under: uncultured bacterium
Lineage: Bacteria
Description: partial 16S ribosomal RNA
Rfam family: Bacterial small subunit ribosomal RNA
Source: RNAcentral